AUCUAUACAUAUAAUAAAAUCGUAGAAAAGUGCUGUCUGUACAUUGAAAAUAAAAAUAAAAAAAAUAGCAGGGGUUAUUUUUAUGUCGAUGUCGAACCCAAAAAUGUAAUUAACUUUUUUUUGUCUGUUUGUCUGUUUGUCUGUUUGUCUGUUUGUCUGUUUGUCUGUUCGUCUGUGCGCGAUAAUCUCAGAAACGGCUGAUCCGAGUUGGAUGCGGUUUUCACGAAUAUAUUGUGGAAUGCUUAAAUUUACAUUUAGUGUUUGUUUCAUGUAUCGGUUCAUAAAUAAAAAAGUUAUGUCAAAUUAAAGAAUCACGUCGAACAUUCUAUGCUUAUACCAUUAAUCUCCGCAACUAUUUGACGGAUUUGGUUGAAAUUUGGUACAGAUAUAGUUUAGAACCUUAGAAAGGACAUAGAUAUAUUUUUAUUUCAAAAAUCAAAAAAUAAAAAUAAGAAAUAAAUUAUUUAUAAAUAAUUCUAUGUCGAUCGUUACACGACUUCGGUUCAUGUUAUUGUUUUAAUUCAUCGAAAAAAAGUAAAUAAAUAGUAAAAAGGUAUGAAAAAAAUAAUAUCAAUAUAAUUAAACUUUUAGUACAAAGAAAAUGCCCGAACGGAGUAUAAAUAAAUAAUCCAAGUUGUCUUUAUCCUCGAUAGAUGGCGUUGGGAUCGAAAUACUAUGGUUUCGUUACAUUCAUUUGGUUGGGUAUCGGCCGAGCGCUUCGGUACCGUACUAUCGUAGAAAAAGUGUAUUAUCAGUCGUAUGAUUAUUUGUCUGUAGUGGUCCUGCUGUUUCGUAUAUUCUAAAUUGGUUUCGUUGUAUUUGUCAAUUAAUAAGUUUAUUUGUUGGGUUUUCCUGGUUUUUUGGUUAAACUAUUUAACGUAGGUUUAGUUUGAUAUCGAUUAUUAGUAGUUACUGUAGUUAGUUUUUUUAAUAAAAUUGUAAGUCUAAUUUUUUUUUUAAUUAGAUUAGAUUUAAGUCGUUUCUUUUAAAUUAUUUAGUUUAAGCUUUGUUAUUAUAGCAUAGAGGAUAGGUUGUAAUAUAGUUUCUUUUUUAAUUGUUAUAAAUUCGUAAUUCGUAGCUUUCUUUAGUUUUAAGUUCGUUUAAGUCCGUUUUUAAACUAUUUUUUCAAUGCCCUAAGUGAGUAUACAUCUAUUAAAUUCAAACGCAGAGCUCAUUAUGUUGAUUUUUGAAGAGUUCCCUGGAAUAUCUUCCACAUCUCAUUUUUGAAGAGAUCCCGCGAGAUCGGGAACUAUGUGGUUAAAACCAAAAAUUUGCCGGAAGUCACUAUUCCACGCGAACGAAGUCGCGGGCAAAAGCUAGUUAAAAAUAAAAAUUAAUAAA
Spodoptera frugiperda (fall armyworm) is the source of this 1341-nucleotide long non-coding RNA. RefSeq lists it as uncharacterized. The transcript is spliced from 2 exons. Lineage: Eukaryota; Metazoa; Arthropoda; Insecta; Lepidoptera; Noctuidae. The record is from RefSeq and is a predicted model, not a curated record.